This 434-nucleotide ribosomal RNA is filed under the name uncultured Ruminococcus sp. Its description in RNAcentral is "partial 16S ribosomal RNA". It matches the Rfam family "Bacterial small subunit ribosomal RNA", at positions 341 to 792 of the family's 1533-position model. The record is from RNAcentral. Lineage: Bacteria; Bacillati; Bacillota; Clostridia; Eubacteriales; Oscillospiraceae.
ACGGAAGGCAGCAGUGGGGAAUAUUGCACAAUGGGCGCAGGCCUGAUGCAGCGAUGCCGCGUGAGGGAAGAAGGUUUUCGGAUUGUAAACCUCUGUCAACAGGGACGAAAAUGACGGUACCUGUGAAGGAAGCUCCGGCUAACUACGUGCCAGCAGCCGCGGUAAUACGUAGGGAGCAAGCGUUAUCCGGAAUUACUGGGUGUAAAGGGAGUGUAGGCGGGACUGUAAGUCAGAUGUGAAAUAUGCCGGCUCAACUGGCAGACUGCAUUUGAAACUGCGGUUCUUGAGUGAAGUAGAGGUAAGCGGAAUUCCUAGUGUAGCGGUGAAGUGCGUAGAUAUUAGGAGGAACAUCAGUGGCGAAGGCGGCUUACUGGGCUUUAACUGACGCUGAGGCUCGAAAGCGUGAGGAGCAAACAGGAUUAGAUACCCUGGUA